UACGUAGGAUGCAAGCGUUGUCCGGAAUUAUUGGGCGUAAAGAGCGAGCAGGCGGUUCUACAAGUCAGAUGUAAAAUAUCCCGGCUUAACCGGGAGGGGCCAUUUGAAACUGUCGGACUAGAGUGGAGCAGAGGAUAGUGGAAUUCCCGGUGUAGUGGUGAAAUGCGUAGAUAUCGGGAGGAACACCAGUGGCGAAGGCGACUAUCUGGGCUUUAACUGACGCUGAGGCGCGAAGGCCGGGGGAGCAAACAGG
This 253-nucleotide ribosomal RNA is filed under the name uncultured bacterium. RNAcentral describes it as "partial 16S ribosomal RNA". It matches the Rfam family "Bacterial small subunit ribosomal RNA", at positions 524 to 776 of the family's 1533-position model. The record is from RNAcentral.